This is a non-coding RNA of Podarcis lilfordi (Lilford's wall lizard), 124 nucleotides long. The record is from the annotation of a GenBank genome assembly. NCBI's taxonomy places the organism in Eukaryota, Metazoa, Chordata, Lepidosauria, Squamata, Lacertidae.
AACCAAGUUUGUUAUUGGUAUGAGCUUUCGUGUGCAUGCACACGUCUUCAGAUACCUGAAGAAUCUGAAGUAUCUGAAGAAGUGUGCAUGCACACGAAAGCUCAUACCAAUAACAAAGUUGGUC